This 295-nucleotide long non-coding RNA is filed under the name Capsicum annuum. RNAcentral describes it as "long non-coding RNA (CANN_LNC006343)". The record is from RNAcentral. Lineage: Eukaryota; Viridiplantae; Streptophyta; Magnoliopsida; Solanales; Solanaceae.
ACCACGGUCGCUUGGUGGAGAGUAUCGGCUAAUUAGACACCACAAAUGUAUAAAACACACAAAGCACAUAAACAAACAUCAAACAACAAUCCAAAAACCAAAAUAAUAAUAUCCAGUGCAAUUAUUACAACCCGAAAUGAAAAAAAAAGGUACUGAAAAAUAAACCUACGCUAACCUACACUAAUCCUAAACUACGAUCCAAUACCUUACCAGAUGCUUCGGGCCUUCAUCACAAACCUCCUUUGCGUACAUGAUAUGUUGGGGCAUUUCCCGGUGAAUAAAUACAAUGUGUCUC